GACGAACGCUGGCGGCGUGCUUAACACAUGCAAGUCGAACGGAAAGGCCCUGCUUUUGUGGGGUGCUCGAGUGGCGAACGGGUGAGUAACACGUGAGUAACCUGCCCUUGACUUUGGGAUAACUUCAGGAAACUGGGGCUAAUACCGGAUAGGAGCUCCUGCUGCAUGGUGGGGGUUGGAAAGUUUCGGCGGUUGGGGAUGGACUCGCGGCUUAUCAGCUUGUUGGUGGGGUAGUGGCUUACCAAGGCUUUGACGGGUAGCCGGCCUGAGAGGGUGACCGGCCACAUUGGGACUGAGAUACGGCCCAGACUCCUACGGGAGGCAGCAGUGGGGAAUAUUGCACAAUGGGCGGAAGCCUGAUGCAGCAACGCCGCGUGCGGGAUGACGGCCUUCGGGUUGUAAACCGCUUUCGCCUGUGACGAAGCGUGAGUGACGGUAAUGGGUAAAGAAGCACCGGCUAACUACGUGCCAGUAGCCGCGGUGAUACGUAGGGUGCGAGCGUUGUCCGGAUUUAUUGGGCGUAAAGGGCUCGUAGGUGGUUGAUCGCGUCGGAAGUGUAAUCUUGGGGCUUAACCCUGAGCGUGCUUUCGAUACGGGUUGACUUGAGGAAGGUAGGGGAGAAUGGAAUUCCUGGUGGAGCGGUGGAAUGCGCAGAUAUCAGGAGGAACACCAGUGGCGAAGGCGGUUCUCUGGGCCUUUCCUGACGCUGAGGAGCGAAAGCGUGGGGAGCGAACAGGCUUAGAUACCCUGGUAGUCCACGCUGUAAACGGUGGGUACUAGGUGUGGGGUCCAUUCCACGGGUUCCGUGCCGUAGCUAACGCUUUAAGUACCCCGCCUGGGGAGUACGGCCGCAAGGCUAAAACUCAAAGGAAUUGACGGGGCCCCGCACAAGCGGCGGAGCAUGCGGAUUAAUUCGAUGCAACGCGUAGAACCUUACCUGGGUUUGACAUGGAUCGGGAGUGCUCAGAGAUGGGUGUGCCUCUUUUGGGGUCGGUUCACAGGUGGUGCAUGGCUGUCGUCAGCUCGUGUCGUGAGAUGUUGGGUUAAGUCCCGCAACGAGCGCAACCCUUGUUCACUGUUGCCAGCAUGUUAUGGUGGGGACUCAGUGGAGACCGCCGGGGUCAACUCGGAGGAAGGUGGGGAUGACGUCAAGUCAUCAUGCCCCUUAUGUCCAGGGCUUCACGCAUGCUACAAUGGCUGGUACAGAGAGUGGCGAGCCUGUGAGGGUGAGCGAAUCUCGGAAAGCCGGUCUCAGUUCGGAUUGGGGUCUGCAACUCGACCUCAUGAAGUCGGAGUCGCUAGUAAUCGCAGAUCAGCAACGCUGCGGUGAAUACGUUCCCGGGGCU
RNAcentral lists this ribosomal RNA (1346 nucleotides) under uncultured bacterium. RNAcentral's name for it is "partial 16S ribosomal RNA". It matches the Rfam family "Bacterial small subunit ribosomal RNA", at positions 28 to 1381 of the family's 1533-position model. The record is from RNAcentral.